GACGAACGCUGGCGGCGUGCCUAAUACAUGCAAGUUGAGCGAUGAAGAUUGGUGCUUGCACCAAUUUGAAGAGCAGCGAACGGGUGAGUAACGCGUGGGGAAUCUGCCUUUGAGCGGGGGACAACAUUUGGAAACGAAUGCUAAUACCGCAUAACAACUUUAAACAUAAGUUUUAAGUUUGAAAGAUGCAAUUGCAUCACUCAAAGAUGAUCCCGCGUUGUAUUAGCUAGUUGGUGAGGUAAAGGCCCACCAAGGCGAUGAUACAUAGCCGACCUGAGAGGGUGAUCGGCCACAUUGGGACUGGGACAAGGCCCAAACCCCUACGGGAAGCAGCAGUAGGGAAUCUUCGGCCAUGGACGAAAGUCUGACCGCGCAACGCCGCGUGAGUGAAGAAGGUUUUCGGAUCGUAAAACUCUGUUGGUAGAGAAGAACGUUGGUGAGAGUGGAAAGCUCAUCAAGUGACGGUAACUACCCAGAAAGGGACGGCUAACUACGUG
Molecule: ribosomal RNA, 497 nt
Filed under: uncultured bacterium
Lineage: Bacteria
Description: partial 16S ribosomal RNA
Rfam family: Bacterial small subunit ribosomal RNA
Source: RNAcentral